Molecule: ribosomal RNA, 119 nt
Filed under: Gossypium raimondii (Peruvian cotton)
Lineage: Eukaryota; Viridiplantae; Streptophyta; Magnoliopsida; Malvales; Malvaceae
Also listed under: 3 other names
Source: RNAcentral
GGGUGCGAUCAUACCAGCACUAACGCACCGGAUCCCAUCAGAACUCCGCAGUUAAGCGUGCUUGGGCGAGAGUAGUACUAGGAUGGGUGACCUCCUGGGAAGUCCUCGUGUUGCACCCC